This 468-nucleotide ribosomal RNA is filed under the name uncultured bacterium. RNAcentral's name for it is "partial 16S ribosomal RNA". It matches the Rfam family "Bacterial small subunit ribosomal RNA", at positions 28 to 507 of the family's 1533-position model. The record is from RNAcentral.
GACGAACGCUGGCGGCGUGCUUAACACAUGCAAGUCGAACGGAAAGGCCCUGCUUUUGUGGGGUGCUCGAGUGGCGAACGGGUGAGUAACACGUGAGUAACCUGCCCUUGACUUUGGGAUAACUUCAGGAAACUGGGGCUAAUACCGGAUAGGAGCUCCUGCUGCAUGGUGGGGGUUGGAAAGUUUCGGCGGUUGGGGAUGGACUCGCGGCUUAUCAGCUUGUUGGUGGGGUAGUGGCUUACCAAGGCUUUGACGGGUAGCCGGCCUGAGAGGGUGACCGGCCACAAUGGUACUGAGAUACGGCGCAGACUCCUACGGGAGGCAGCAGUGGGGAAUAUUGCACAAUGGGCGGAAGCCUGAUGCAGCAACGCCGCGUGCGGGAUGACGGCCUUCUGGUUGUAAACCGCUUUCGCCUGUGACGAAGCGUGAGUGACGGUAAUGGGUAAAGAAGCACCGGCUAACUACGUG